Non-coding RNA from Manis javanica (Malayan pangolin), 674 nucleotides. The record is from RefSeq and is a predicted model, not a curated record. NCBI's taxonomy places the organism in Eukaryota, Metazoa, Chordata, Mammalia, Pholidota, Manidae.
UGGCCCUUUUGGCUUCACCUCCUGUUCUGCUCCCCAGGCCCGAUGUUCUUACUGCUGGGUCCUCGGCAGGACUCUGUGCUCUUGACUCUGCUUCACAAAGCUCCAGAUGCCAACCUUGACUUUUAAGCAACAAGAUUGAAGCUCCCUCAUCUUCCCUACAACAAAGCUACACACCUACCUGCCCCUACAUCCUGUUGUAGGAUUCGGACACCGCUGAUGUUCUUCAGAGGCGGCCUGCUCCCUCUGAUGUGCACUAUCUUCUCCAUCCUACUUGUUCCAGGACUCCUCGCUGGCAAAGCCUAAGUGGAUUCAGAGGGCAGCAGAGCCCGUUGUACUGCAAACAGCUUCCACUAGCAGAGAGCAAGUUUUUAUGAAUAAAAAUGGGAGGAAGAGCAUGACCUGUGUCCCAGAGGACCCAGGAGCUUGCUGGGAGUGGGCACCUGGUGCUGAGGCUGCCAAAUGCUUGUUUCUGAGUAAGUACAAAAGGAGAGGGACUAUUUCCCUGUGGUUCCAGAGCUUCAGCCGGGAGGGGAGAAGCACUGGGCAGCUGUGUUCCUUGGCCAGUGACUACAUCGGCUCGGUGUUGUGUAAUGCUAACUGUUUUGGAGCCUUACUUAAGAAAUUCCGAAUGUCAGGAAAACUACACAAUUGAAAGUAACUACUGAAGUCUUAAG